CCUACGGGAGGCAGCAGUGGGGAAUAUUGCACAAUGGGCGAAAGCCUGAUGCAGCGACGCCGCGUGAGGGAUGACGGCCUUCGGGUUGUAAACCUCUUUCAGUAGGGAAGAAGCGUAAGUGACGGUACCUGCAGAAGAAGCGCCGGCUAACUACGUGCCAGCAGCCGCGGUAAUACGUAGGGCGCAAGCGUUAUCCGGAAUUAUUGGGCGUAAAGAGCUCGUAGGCGGUUUGUCGCGUCUGCCGUGAAAGUCCGGGGCUCAACUCCGGAUCUGCGGUGGGUACGGGCAGACUAGAGUGAUGUAGGGGAGACUGGAAUUCCUGGUGUAGCGGUGAAAUGCGCAGAUAUCAGGAGGAACACCGAUGGCGAAGGCAGGUCUCUGGGCAUUAACUGACGCUGAGGAGCGAAAGCAUGGGGAGCGAACAGGAUUAGAUACCCUGGUAGUCCAUGCCGUAAACGUUGGGCACUAGGUGUGGGGGACAUUCCACGUUUUCCGCGCCGUAGCUAACGCAUUAAGUGCCCCGCCUGGGGAGUACGGCCGCAAGGCUAAAACUCAAAGGAAUUGACGG
This 568-nucleotide ribosomal RNA is filed under the name uncultured bacterium. RNAcentral describes it as "bacterial SSU rRNA". It matches the Rfam family "Bacterial small subunit ribosomal RNA", at positions 338 to 916 of the family's 1533-position model. The record is from RNAcentral.